GACGAACGUUGGCGGCGUGCUUAAUACAUGCAAGUCAACUGAAGCAGUGGUAGCAAUAUCGCUGUGGAGGUGGCGCACGGGUGAGUAACACGUAGGUAAUCUGCCUUCAGGUCUGGCAUAACUCCGGGAAACCGGGGCUAAUAGCAGAUGAUGCAGCGGCUCGACAUCGAGACAGUUGUUAAGGCUAUGGCGCCUGAAGAUGAGCCUGCGUCUGAUUAGCUAGUUGGCGGGGUAACGGCCCACCAAGGCAACGAUCAGUAGCUGGUCUGAGAGGAUGAUCAGCCACACUGGAACUGAGACACGGUCCAGACUCCUACGGGAGGCAGCAGUAAGGAAUAUUGCUCAAUAGGAGAAAUCCUGAAGCAGCAACGCCGCGUGAGGGACGAAGGGCUUUUGCUUGUAAACCUCUGUAGUGAGAGAAAAAAAUCCCAAUCUUUGGGACAUGAUGGUAUCUCAAAAGUAAGCCCCGGCUAACUACGUG
This 481-nucleotide ribosomal RNA is filed under the name uncultured bacterium. Its description in RNAcentral is "partial 16S ribosomal RNA". It matches the Rfam family "Bacterial small subunit ribosomal RNA", at positions 28 to 507 of the family's 1533-position model. The record is from RNAcentral.